This 448-nucleotide ribosomal RNA is filed under the name uncultured organism. RNAcentral describes it as "partial 16S ribosomal RNA". It matches the Rfam family "Bacterial small subunit ribosomal RNA", at positions 334 to 798 of the family's 1533-position model. The record is from RNAcentral.
CACUCCUACGGGAGGCAGCAGUGGGGAAUAUUGGACAAUGGGCGCAAGCCUGAUCCAGCCAUGCCGCGUGAGUGAUGAAGGCCCUAGGGUUGUAAAGCUCUUUCACCGGUGAAGAUAAUGACGGUAACCGGAGAAGAAGCCCCGGCUAACUUCGUGCCAGCAGCCGCGGUAAUACGAAGGGGGCUAGCGUUGUUCGGAUUUACUGGGCGUAAAGCGCACGUAGGCGGACUAUUAAGUCAGGGGUGAAAUCCCGGGGCUCAACCCCGGAACUGCCUUUGAUACUGGUAGUCUUGAGUUCGAGAGAGGUGAGUGGAAUUCCGGGUGUAGAGGUGAAAUUCGUAGAUAUUCGGAGGAACACCAGUGGCGAAGGCGGCUCACUGGCUCGAUACUGACGCUGAGGUGCGAAAGCGUGGGGAGCAAACAGGAUUAGAUACCCUUGUAGUCCCAU